This 253-nucleotide ribosomal RNA is filed under the name uncultured bacterium. RNAcentral describes it as "partial 16S ribosomal RNA". It matches the Rfam family "Bacterial small subunit ribosomal RNA", at positions 524 to 776 of the family's 1533-position model. The record is from RNAcentral.
UACGUAGGGGGCAAGCGUUAUCCGGAAUUACUGGGUGUAAAGGGAGCGUAGACGGUAAUGUAAGUCUGGAGUGAAAGGCGGGGGCCCAACCCUCGGACUGCUCUGGAAACUAUGUUACUAGAGUGCAGGAGAGGUAAGCGGAAUUCCUAGUGUAGCGGUGAAAUGCGUAGAUAUUAGGAGGAACACCAGUGGCGAAGGCGGCUUACUGGACUGUAACUGACGUUGAGGCUCGAAAGCGUGGGGAGCAAACAGG